Molecule: Y RNA, 102 nt
Filed under: Propithecus coquereli (Coquerel's sifaka)
Lineage: Eukaryota; Metazoa; Chordata; Mammalia; Primates; Indriidae
Description: Y RNA (ENSPCOG00000009233.1)
Rfam family: Y RNA
About the family: Y RNAs are components of the Ro ribonucleoprotein particle (Ro RNP), in association with Ro60 and La proteins.
Source: Rfam by way of RNAcentral
GGCUGGUCCAAGUGCAGUGGUGUUUACAACUAAUUGAUCACAACUAGUUACAGAUUCCUUUGUUUCUUCUCUGCUACCACUGCUUCACCUGACUAGCCUUUU